This 423-nucleotide ribosomal RNA is filed under the name uncultured prokaryote. RNAcentral's name for it is "bacterial SSU rRNA". It matches the Rfam family "Bacterial small subunit ribosomal RNA", at positions 355 to 796 of the family's 1533-position model. The record is from RNAcentral.
UGGGGAAUCUUGGACAAUGGGGGCAACCCUGAUCCAGCGACGCCGCGUGGGUGGUAAGGCCUUCGGGUUGUAAAGCCCUUUCACCGGGGAAGAUGAUGACAUUACCCGGAGAAGAAGCGCCGGCUAACUCCGUGCCAGCAGGCGCGGUAAGACGGAGGGCGCUAGCGUUGUUCGGAAUCACUGGGCGUAAAGGGCGCGUAGGCGGCUGUUAAUGUCGAGGGAGAAAGCGGGGGGCACAAGCCCGGAACGGCCUUCGAGACUGGGCAGCUCGAGAGGGGAAGAGGAGGGUGGAAUACCCAGUGUAGAGGUGAAAUUCGUAGAUAUUGGGUGGAACACCAGUGGCGAAAGCGGCUCUCUGGUCCGGAUCUGACGCUGAGGCGCGAAAGCGUGGGGAGCAAACAGGAUUAGAUACCCCCGUAGUCC